UGGAGCAAAUGGAGAAGGUGUCAGCUGAGGACACAUCUGUGGAGAAACAACAGACCCUGCACACAGAAUGAGAGAUGGAGAGGAAUGUUCUGGUAGCCACCUUGGUGUAGCAACCAUGUUUUUAUUAGUAAUAAUUUUUUUCAUACUUAUCAAGUGUUCAUGAUGCUCUGGGCUCCUUAGUCAUACAUAAUGAAGUCUUUGCACAUGCUGUGUUAAGUUGAGAUCUUCUGACUCCGUGUCAUGGAGGUUGACAGACACAUAUUUAGGUAAUGUAUGUGAGCUUUCAUACUGACAGAGAGAGGACUUGAACCCUGAACAUGGUAAUCCACAUCUCACUCUCAGAUGACUAAGCUCCACUGUCUUAAAGACACAACCGCAUUCCCUCCUCUUUAUAUUACAUGUGUGCAUCGUAGUCUGUGUGUGUUAUAAAUGGUUCUUCUGUUUCCACAGCACUGCCUGUGCCAAGUGCCAGGUCCUCAUCUUAGUAAGUUUAUGGGGUCCAGAAGUCAAACUCUCCUUGCUGCUGCAGUAUCUUUGUCCUAUCAGGACCUGGAGUCCUACCUGCCCCCAGCCCUGAUGUGUGAUGCCUUUGACACCCGCUCUUCUCCCUGACUCUGGGACCUUGUGAUGAUCCUCAUCAUUGUGUAAAUAGUGAUACAAAGAAUGUUCUCAUUGCCUGUUUUAGUGCCUGCAUUUGUGCUAAUUUCCUCAUGACAUUUGUAGGAGUAGAAGGACUGGGUUAAAGGCGUUAACACAGGCAGUGUGUGAGGACGCUCAUUCCUUCAUUCUGACCAGUCCUCAGGAGUCUUUGGGGGGUGGGGAAGACUUCAUAAAGAGAGUGACACAAACUGCACUGGGAUUGCCUGGAAGAUGAGGAAGGAAGGAAAGAAAGAAUGUCAGCAGUGUGGGUCUUAGGUAUCAGCUCCUCCUAGGACCUGACCAAAAGGAGAGUGUUGGUAUGGUAACAGUUGAAGAUAAUGGUGGGUCCUUCUCAGGAUUGCAGUCUGCUCUUGUAACUGCCAACUCAGUGGUCUUUCCCAAACCCUCCAAGUCUGCAUAUAUCCCAGGCUGGCAUGAGACACACUAUGGAGCCCAGGAGAAGCAUGUACACCUUAUCUUUGGCCUGACCCACCCAAGUGUAAGGAUCCCAGGUUUGUUCCCCUCCCUUCCACUGUUUAAACCUUCUCAUACUCACAUGGAUUCAUAAUGCAAUAGAAAGAAUAUUUUAAAAAAAACCUAAGAGUUAGUCAGUCUUACACAUGGAAGAUGUUCUAAAGUCCCCUCCCCAAAGUGAAACCUCAGGGACAGCAUCCUUCCUGGUCUGUAAUAUUAAUUGGAACUUGGGACAUUAGUAGACAGGGAUGGAGUCAUGUGUUCAUUUACAGGCUCCAAAAAAACAAGCACAGUAAUAUCCAAAUCCAUCUUAGAACUAAUUUAUUGGCAAAAGAUUAUAAACAUUUGAAAGACGCCCAUUGGUCCAGUUAUGGGUACACAUCCCCACUGUAGCUGUUGGCUGUGGAAGGUUGUGGAGUUUUGUAGGACAGUCAACAACACUCACCCAGGACUGUAAUAUGCUCAGGUGGGGCCAUAACCACCCAAUUAUCCAGCAGGCAGACAGCAGAGUGAGUUCAUGGAAACCUUUGCCAGGGUGUGUGGUGCAGGUCAGAGUAACUUGCUUAAGGCCCAAGUGGGGUGAGUUGGGAAGAAGUGACCAUCUGUACUAGUCAGGUUCUCUAGAGUAGCAGAACUCACAGAAUCCAUCUCUCUACAUAGAAAGGGGUUUAUUAGAACGACUGACGGGCUGUGGUUCAGCUAGUCCAACCGUGGCUGCCUACGAAUGGAAGGCUGAAGACUCCAGAUACUGCUCAGUCCACAAGGCUGGAUGUCUUCAGUAUAUGCGGGAAUACUGAAGAAGGAGGCUGUAUUGCUGGAUGGGCAACAAUUAUGGCUCCCUGGCCGCUGGAUCAGGGCUCGGAAAGGAGCAGAAACUGAAGACAGGAGUGUGACGUCGUCUUGAUGGCCCUCCGGUAUUGGCCAUGGCACUAUUAUCUCUAUGGAAGUGACCUCGAUGACAUCGGUCUUCACCCUACCAACAUGGGGUCAGGUGAAAUCUCUUGCAGCCCAGGGUCAGAUUAUUGUCCAGCAGUCCAGAAGACCAGUAACAGCUGAACAUCUUUUUCUGGCCCUGUGUGCUCUGCUAACUGUCUCUUCUGUUCUGGGACCAGCUGUAAGUUACUGGGCUUAUGUCCCUAACCCACCUAUGUUUGAACCUGUCUUUUGGGGAGAUACUGAUAUGUUAGUAUAUACCACUCCCAGUAUCCUCUCUCGUCCUUGGAAUAAUUUGAUUUGUCUGAAUAAUUUUGUUGGGACUCCAUAUAAUUUUACUUAUAUAAAUAAAAGGAAGCCGAUAUGCUUUGGAAAUGGUCCUUGUUUUUCAAUGGGAUUUGAGCAUUGGUUACAACCUGGUAUUAAAAUCGGCAGAUCUCGUACUCGUCUUCAAAGACUCUCAGCAUGGUCCAUUAAUCAGACCUGGGAUAAUAUUAUUGAAAGUUAUGAAUUAGCAUACCCUGUAUGUCCAGAUUUUACAUAUUAUAGUUUAAAAUAUGAGUCACUUAUUGGGAAAAUUUGUUUGGGCAAAUUUGGCAAAAUAAAUGGAUCAAUUGG
Myodes glareolus (Bank vole) is the source of this 2664-nucleotide non-coding RNA. The record is from RefSeq and is a predicted model, not a curated record. NCBI's taxonomy places the organism in Eukaryota, Metazoa, Chordata, Mammalia, Rodentia, Cricetidae.